This 492-nucleotide ribosomal RNA is filed under the name uncultured bacterium. RNAcentral's name for it is "partial 16S ribosomal RNA". It matches the Rfam family "Bacterial small subunit ribosomal RNA", at positions 29 to 507 of the family's 1533-position model. The record is from RNAcentral.
AGUGAACGCUGGUGGUAGGCCUAACACAUGCAAGUCGAACGGCAGCACAGUAAGAGCUUGUUCUUACGGGUGGCGAGUGGCGGACGGGUGAGGAAUACAUCGGAAUCUACUUUUUCGUGGGGGAUAACGUAGGGAAACUUACGCUAAUACCGCAUACGACCUACGGGUGAAAGCAGGGGAUCUUCGGACCUUGCGCGAUUGAAUGAGCCGAUGUCGGAUUAGCUAGUUGGCGGGGUAAAGGCCCACCAAGGCGACGAUCCGUAGCUGGUCUGAGAGGAUGAUCAGCCACACUGGAACUGAGACACGGUCCAGACUCCUACGGGAGGCAGCAGUGGGGAAUAUUGGACAAUGGGCGCAAGCCUGCUCCAGCCAUGCCGCGUGGGUGAAGAAGGCCUUCGGGUUGUAAAGCCCUUUUGUUGGGGAAGAAGAGCAGGAGGUUAAUACCCCGCUGUUCUGACGGUACCCAAAGAAUAAGCACCGGCUAACUUCGUG